AACGAACGCUGGCGGCGUGGAUAAGACAUGCAAGUCGAACGGGAUUAUUUUUGUAGCAAUACAGAAAUAAUUCAGUGGCGAACGGGUGCGUAACACGUGGGCAAUCUGCCGAAAAGUGGGGGAUAGCUCGCCGAAAGGCGAAUUAAUACCGCAUGUGGUGAGGGACGACAUCUUCCUGAAUCCAAAGCCGGGGCAACCUGGCGCUUUUUGAGGAGCCCGCGGCCUAUCAGCUUGUUGGCGGGGUAACGGCCCACCAAGGCUAUGACGGGUAGCUGGUCUGAGAGGACGACCAGUCACACUGGAACUGAGACACGGUCCAGACACCUACGGGUGGCAGCAGUCGAGAAUUUUUCUCAAGUGGGGGAAACCCUGAAGGAGCGACGCCGCGUGGAGGAUGAAGG
RNAcentral lists this ribosomal RNA (401 nucleotides) under uncultured bacterium. RNAcentral's name for it is "bacterial SSU rRNA". It matches the Rfam family "Bacterial small subunit ribosomal RNA", at positions 29 to 414 of the family's 1533-position model. The record is from RNAcentral.